Molecule: long non-coding RNA, 537 nt
Filed under: Nicotiana tabacum (common tobacco)
Lineage: Eukaryota; Viridiplantae; Streptophyta; Magnoliopsida; Solanales; Solanaceae
Description: long non-coding RNA (NTAB_LNC013954)
Source: RNAcentral
UUCAGGAAUGCCAUAAGUGCCCAGACAAUUACAAGUUCGAUUACAACAAAAAUCUGAAACAGAAACUAGGAUUAAUCAACACCACUCGACUUGAUUCAACUCCGAGAAAUCAAUUGAACAGCCAGAGAAAUACCUGAAAUGGAGUUCAAUAGGCAGCUGUUAGCAUAGGUGAUAAGAAAUGGCUAUUGUUAUAUUAAACUGGAUUGCUUCAGAAUUUUAUAGAGAAAAGAAGAAUUUAGGAGAGAAGAAAGGUUCAAAUUUAGAGGAGAUAGGAAGUAUAGAGAGAGAAAGAGCACGAAAUAGAGAGAGGAGACGUACCAAAUUCGUUGAAACCCCUCCUGCACUGAGAUAGUGUCAUACAUUCUAAUGGGCUUGAUAUCAGCCUUUGGUUGAAAUUAAUCUGAUCUGUCCACGUCGCUAACAACUUUUAAACUCUUCUUUUACUAGUUUACUCUCAGCACAUUACAUGCCACCCUCCUUCAGUUCAUUCUUUCCCUCAAGGAUGAUGUUGAGAUUGUUGCAAGAACUCUGGCAAUU